This 1029-nucleotide long non-coding RNA is filed under the name Anas platyrhynchos platyrhynchos (common mallard). Its description in RNAcentral is "lncRNA (ENSAPLG00000026891.1)". Lineage: Eukaryota; Metazoa; Chordata; Aves; Anseriformes; Anatidae. The record is from RNAcentral.
UACCCUCUCUGAGGCAGGCUCACGAGCCUGCCACAGCACAGGCGUCUCCUGUUAUGCAGAAGACGGAGGUUCCCUCCUCCUGCCAGGCAGCGGGAGGAGACCUAGAUCAAGGGGGGGAAUGGAGGCAGGUGCCUAUUCGGGGUGGUAGGCGAGCCCUCUCUCUGCCCACCUCACCUUCUCAUCUACCCUUAAACAAUCGAUAUGAAGGACUAGAACAAGACAGUCUGAAUGACAAAGUAGAUAAAAACCCGUCCCAGUUGGAGGAGGCACCUAAGACAAGGCGACCUACACAUCCCAUUGCCACAUCAUCCUUCAAAAAAGAAAAAAGGGCUAUUGUUAUGGGGGGCUCCCUUCUGAAAGGGACAGAGGGACCGAUAUGCCGACCAGACCCAACCCGCAGAGAAGUCUGUUGCCUCCCUGGGGCUCGGGUGAGAGACUUUGCCAAGAAAGUCAAGCGCCUGGUACGGCCCACUGACUGCUACCCGCUACUGGUCUUUCAGGCUGGUAGCGAUGAAGUAGCAACAAGAAGUCCGAAGGCAAUCAAAAGAGACUUUAGGGAUUUGGGGCGACUACUUAGAGGAUCAGGGGUGCAGGUUGUGUUUGCCUCUGUCCUUCCGACAGGGGGGAUCGAAGCUGAAAGGUGUGCUGUUCACAUAAACUCGUGGCUUCGAGACUGGUGUGACCGGCAGAACUUUGGGUUCUUUGAUCACGGGAAGGUCUAUGCUACACCGGGCCUGAAGGCACCGGAUGGGAUGCGCCUCUCUCGGAGUGGGGUAAGGAUCUUUGGUCAGGAGUUGGCAGGGCUGAUAGAUAGGGCUUUAAACUAGAGUCGAAGGAGGAAGGGGCUAAAACCAGGCACGCCGGUGAAGACCUAAGGGAUGGUACGCUAGAAUCAGAGGGGCUGUGUGCCAGUGAGGUCCUUCGGUUAGAUCCACAAGGUGCUGAGUGUAAGGAGACGCACCUGAAAUGCUUCUACACAAACGCACGCAGUAUGAGGAAUAAAAUGGAUGAGCUAGAAGUCCUGGCCCA